Molecule: ribosomal RNA, 221 nt
Filed under: uncultured bacterium
Lineage: Bacteria
Description: partial 16S ribosomal RNA
Rfam family: Bacterial small subunit ribosomal RNA
Source: RNAcentral
UAAUGUCUGGGAAACUGCCUGAUGGAGGGGGGUAACUACUGGAAACGGUAGCUAAUACCGCAUAACGUCGCAAGACCAAAGUGGGGGACCGUUCGGGCCUCAUGCCAUCAGAUGUGCCCAGAUGGGAUUAGCUAGUAGGUGGGGUAAUGGCUCACCUAGGCGACGAUCCCUAGCUGGUCUGAGAGGAUGACCAGCCACACUGGAACUGAGACACGGUCCAG